Tachysurus vachellii is the source of this 1770-nucleotide long non-coding RNA. RefSeq lists it as uncharacterized. The transcript has 3 exons. Lineage: Eukaryota; Metazoa; Chordata; Actinopteri; Siluriformes; Bagridae. The record is from RefSeq and is a predicted model, not a curated record.
CUAAGAAAGAAGACUCCACUGACCCUAUACUGUACCUUGAUGCUACAGGAAAUGUUGCAUCAAAAGUUCCUGGUCAGACCAAAAGAGUCCUUUACUACUCUCUCAGUCUGCCUGGAUGUGGUCAGAAUGCUCCUCCCCUCCCUGUCUGUGAGAUGCUGACAAAUGAACACUCUAUUCCACAAAUCACAUUCUGGAUAAUGCAGUUCCUCCGAAAACUUUCACAGUACACAAAACUAAGAGUGCACCAGAUAGAAACAGACUAUAGCUGGACACUGCUCCAAAGUGUUCUUCUGUCAUUUAACAGGGAGAGCAUUGUCGACUACUUGGACAGGGCUUUUGACAUUUGUUCAAAACUGAAGACAUGGAAGGAUAUCAAAGCAUUUACAGUGCUACAAAUAUGUUCUGCCAAAGGUUUGAAUGAAUUUGCAACAUUUGCAUUUGCCAGGUUGCAAAACACUACCUCAAUGACCACACUGUGGUAGGCACUGUCUUAAUUGGGAAGCACAACACCAUUACUGUCAUGAUUAAUCUGAAGGCCAUGUAGGACUUAAUAAAAGAAGGCAAGAUUCCAGACAUAGAAGAUUUAGAGGACAAUUUACAGAACAGUCCCUUAACUCAGGAAGAAGAUGAAGAGGACUGAACAAAUGCCCGCACUAUUGUUGGCAGAUCUCCCUUCACAUACGAAUUCAAGAAGGUAUUGAAGGAGGUACAGGAAGAGCUUGAAAAAGGAUUCUGAGACUACAAACUAUAAAGAAAAUGCAUACUUCUGCCCAGGCAUUGUUGAUGUCCUUUUUGGCAACUAUCUUGGCUUUUUUUCCACUUUGGAGUGGUCUUCUGUUGGGGGAUUUGAAACGGUAUGCAGAUGGCAAUGAAGAUGACAGCUCUGUGCCAAGUAAAACAAGGGACACAAAUUGCCAUAUUGAGCGAUGGUUCGGAAUCGUGAAACAGUCAAUUCUGAAAAAACAAAGACGCCAGAGGCCAGGAGCAUUUGUCAGAAAAAUGUAUGCCUCUUUACAGGGGAGGUACAUAGAACACAUAAUGGCUCAUAACUUCUCUGAACGGCUGCUACUCAGACACAUCCGAAGAAAAGCCCUAACUUAAUCUCAGGAAGGUUUGGCAAAGAGUGAGAGAGUCAAUCAAGAAAAAAAGCAAAGAUGUCAAUAACAGCAGUACUGACCUCACACAUAAAAUGUCUGAGACUGCCACAGAGGUUGAUGCCCUUUGGACACACAAACCUACUGAAAUUGUAGUUGCUCUUGUAAAGCGGGAACAGAGCCAGAAUUUCACUCUGUGGCACAGAGAGUUACAGACUUUGAGGCCUGAUGAACUCAUUGUACUGUAGAAUGUGGCUUCAGCAAAGAGAAGAACUGCAGAACUAAAGACUGAUCACUAACAGCUGAGUUUAUUUAGUGACUUUACAUUCAGCAUCAUGAUGUUUUAGUGUUAGAUUUAAAUCCAAUUAACUCAUUUCUGUCUUAAUUAAUCGUCAUUCGUUUGUUAUUCAGGCAGCUUCUUUUGUUUAUCAGUUAUCUUUUUGUACAUUUAAUAUAUUAUACACACACAUACAUAUAUAACGUGUAGCCGCCUGCAGAAAUCCUGCACAUUUUCUACUAUAUCCUGAUUUUUCUCAUCGUCUCUUCACUCGCUUGAUCUGUUAAAGCAAAGAAUUCCGACCAAAGUCAAGAUGGAUUUUAAUAUGUCGGGUCUGUUACUGUAAAAUCUUUAAAAUGUUUCUAUUUAUGAGAAUAAAAUUGAGCUCAUGAGCAUUUA